RNAcentral lists this long non-coding RNA (1245 nucleotides) under Anas platyrhynchos platyrhynchos (common mallard). RNAcentral's name for it is "lncRNA (ENSAPLG00000020447.1)". Lineage: Eukaryota; Metazoa; Chordata; Aves; Anseriformes; Anatidae. The record is from RNAcentral.
UUCAAGUCCAAAUGAGAUGCAGCUGAAUGCUGGGGCCAGCUGUUGGGGUGAGCCAAUCAGCCCGUGGGACAGCCCCGCAGCUGCAGCUCUGCCACUACUCCCUGUGCCUGAACUUGCUUUUUUCCCCCCCAUACAAUUCAUCUGGGCUGCCCCUGUGAGAAUCCUGCUGUUUGAGAGCUCGGGUGGGAGCUGGGAGAAAACUGAACUUCCUGCCCAUCCUGGUAUUUCAAAAACCCAGCAUUUGUUUCGCUGCAAGAUCUGCCUUGAGUGAAGUGUAACAAAAAAUGCUACAGCGGUUUUGUCUCUGGAAGUGGUUAGCUGUAGGGAUUGCACUUGCUACUGUCUUAGCGGGUUCCUUGGCCCAGAACGAUGAAGCUCAUCCCACCAAGUUCUGUGGAAGAUACAAACUUGAGAUUUCUGUGUCUGUUGUGUACAAAAAGAGUACUGCACUGAAAGGGGGAGAAACUGCUCAGGGAAAGAUGAGAAACCUGAAAACCCAACAUGAUUUCUGUGGUGAUGACCUUGAUACUAAGCCUGAAGUCUAAAAGUCACAAAGAAACCAUUUAGGAAAAUGGGACAGCUGGGUGCUCUUAGCUCACGUGUAAGCAGAGUGUAGCUGUCCCCUCUCCCAUGUUUCAGUUUAUUAAAUGCUUUUCCUAUUUUACUUGCACAUAAAGAAGUUUCAUCGACAGUACAGGCUUCCACCUGCUUUUUCUGAUUUGCUCGUAGUAGUAUUUUUUCUGCUUUUAUACAGUAGCGAAGGCUGAUGCAGCUUUAAAACUUGCUUGUGGUAUCUGGAUUCAGUUUAAUCUAAAUAGUAAAUAUUUUUUCACUCUCCUGUGUGAGAUUGUCUUAAAUGUAUCGGUGGUAAUAGGGAAAAUAGAAUUUCAGAAAUACUGAAAACAGUGAAAUUUUAGUGCUAGCCAUGGUUAAAAGCAGACUGAGUCAACUUUUAAAAUUUUAGCAUGUCUGAAGAUGUUACAGCUUUUCUUGAUUCAUCCAGUGCAUUUUCAUGGUCUUAAAAAUUACUUUUGGUUAAUAGCAGUUUUAGGUGCUGCUUGGCAUAGCAUCGUGGUUUUUGUGUUUUACAGGGUUUGGGGGCACAAGUAUGAUUUUUAAAAGGCUCUGUCAACUCCAAAACUGCUUAUAAAAUGGAAGUUGUUUCAGUCUGAAAGAAUAUUGCUCAAAAGAUCGAUGGUACUGCAUUUUUGUAAAGCAGUAAAAAUAAAAUACCAAUACAUAGCA